AUGAGAGGAAAUGUGAGUUCACACUGGACUGUGCUGAGUUUGGAUGGAGGCGGUAACUGGAGACUGAGGUGUCAGAUUAGUGAGACUUCAGGAACCACUGCAGAGCCAUGCAAUGUAACCAGAGAAACCUUCAGAGCUCCAGCAGCUCAUUCAGUGCUGCCCUCUGCAGGACCAGAGUCACAUGUCUGUCUGUCUGUCUGCCUGCCUGCCUGCCUGCCUGCCUGUCUGUCUGUCCGUCCGUCCCUCUAUCUAUGUGUCUGUCUGUCUGUCUGUUCAUCCCUCUAUCUAUGUGUCUGUCUGUCUGUCUGUUUGUCUGUUCGUUCCUCUAUCUAUGUGUGUGUCUGUCUGACUGUCUGCCUGCCUGUCUGUCUGUCUCUCUAUCUAUGUGUGUGUCUGUCCGUCCCUCUAUCUAUGUGUCUGACUGCCUGCCUGCCUGCCUGUCCAUCCAUCCCUCUAUUUAUUUGUCUGUCUGUCCUUCUGUCUUUCUGUUCGUCCCUCUAUCUGUCUUUCUGUCCGUCUGUCUGCCUGCCUGUCUGUCCGUUCGUCCAUGUAUCUAUAUGUCUGUCUUCCUGUCUGUCUGUCGGCCUGCCUGUCUGUCUGUUCAUCCCUCUAUCUAUCUAUCUAUCUAUCUAUCUAUCUAUCUAUCUAUCUAUCUAUCUAUCUAUCUAUCUAUCUAUCUAUCUAUCUAUCUAUCUAUCUAUCUAUCUAUCUAUGUGUCUGUCUGCCUGCCUGCCUGCCUGUUCAUCCCUCUAUCUAUGUGUCUGUCUGUUCGUCCCUCUAUCUAUGUGUCUGUCUGUCUGUCUGUCUGUCUUUUCGUCCCUCUAUCUGUGUCUGUCAGUUCAUCCCUCUAUCUAUGUGUCUGUCUGUUCAUCCCUCUAUCUAUGUGUCUGUCUGUUCGUCCCUCUAUCUAUGUGUCUGUCUGUCUGUCUUUUUGUCCCUCUAUCUAUGUGUCUGUCUGUUCAUCCCUCUAUCUAUGUGUCUGUCUGUUCACCCCUCUAUCUAUGUGUCUGUCUGUCUGUCCGUCUAACUAUGUGUCUGACUGCCUGCCUGCCUGUCUGUCUGUCCUUCUGUCUUUCUGUUCGUCCCUCUAUCUGUCUUUCUGUCCGUCUGUCUGCCUGCCUGUCUGUCAGUUCGUCCAUCUAUCUAUAUGUCUGUCUUCCUGUCUGUCUGUCUGUCUGUCUGUCGGCCUGCCUGUCUGUCUGUUCAUCCCUCUAUCUAUCUAUCUAUCUAUCUAUCUAUCUAUCUAUCUAUCUAUCUAUCUAUCUAUCUACAAACCCGAUUCCAAAAAAGUUGGGACACUGUACAAAUUGUGAAUAA
Cyprinus carpio carpio is the source of this 1317-nucleotide long non-coding RNA. The record is from Ensembl. NCBI's taxonomy places the organism in Eukaryota, Metazoa, Chordata, Actinopteri, Cypriniformes, Cyprinidae.